UACGUAGGCGGAAAAUUAAGUCAGUAGUGAAAUCCUGCAGCUUAACUGUAGAACUGUUAUCGAUACUGGUUUUCUUGAAUAUAGUUGAGGUAGGCGGAAUGUGUAAUGUAGCGGUGAAAUGCUUAGAUAUUACACAGAACACCGAUUGCGAAGGCAGCUUACUAAGCUAUGAUUGACGCUGAGGUACGAAAGCGUGGGGAGCGAACAGGAUUAGAUACCCUGGUAGUCC
This 229-nucleotide ribosomal RNA is filed under the name uncultured bacterium. RNAcentral describes it as "partial 16S ribosomal RNA". It matches the Rfam family "Bacterial small subunit ribosomal RNA", at positions 568 to 796 of the family's 1533-position model. The record is from RNAcentral.